Non-coding RNA from Biomphalaria pfeifferi, 964 nucleotides. NCBI's taxonomy places the organism in Eukaryota, Metazoa, Mollusca, Gastropoda, Planorbidae. The record is from the annotation of a GenBank genome assembly.
AGCAUAAACUUGCCCCCCCCCCCCCAGAUGUAGUCAGCCUGUCAUUGUGUUCACAGUUUCAUGGCUUAUGAAAUGUGUGAAUUAAUUUUCUUUGCCUUAUCAACUAUUAUUGUGUCAAAAUUCAUAACUCUGGCAGUUCUUUUGUAUUUUUGUUUUUCUUUUGUGUGUAUGUAUAUAAAAAUUUGAUGAUCUGUGAUCUUACUUGGAUGAUAACUUUUAGAACUAAGCCUUUCUUUUUGUUUCUGUUUACUGCCUCUUCUGUUUAGUAUUAGCAGGAUGGUUCUAGAGGUUGACUUGAGUGUUAGUUUAGUGAGCUGAAUAUGUAUGAGUUGAACCAGAGUUGUGCCAUUGCCAAUAAAUGUGUUUAUGUUGAAUUUUCUGGUUGGAGUUUGGUCAUAGAUGUUCUUGUGUUGACCUGAGGUGUCUUGUUGGCCAUACUGUGUUUGUAUUUACCUGAGCUGUAUUCUUGGCCAUAGAUGUUUGGGUUGUGGCCUUAUAUAUGCUUGCGCUGAUAUUGAUUGAAUUGUUGACCAUUGUUAGAUCUGUGUCAACCUGAAGUGUUAUCUAUUCAGUUGGAACAUGAAGACUUAAACUGAUGUCAGUUGUUUUAUACAACUUCUUUAACAUCUUUCUUGUUAUCUGCCAAGACCCAUCUUUUCACAGAAAGUUGUACUCUUGUCCAACCAAUCAUAGUUGUCUUUUCCUUUCUGGUUGGUUAAAUGAUCUUUUUUUUUUUUUGUCCUCUUUUCCAGCUUGUGUUUUGUGUGAAUCAUUUCUGUGUCUGGGGUCAAGUUGUAUGUGAUCACAGUAGGGUGAGGGUAGAAAUGAUUAGACUGCUUGACAUGGUCCAGUUACCUAGACCUAGUACAUGUUGAUCUCAGCAUUCAUGAAAUAGUCAUGGUAGAAUGCUGUCUGGUAUUUCUUGGUUCAUGUCAAUACUCUCUGUUAUUUGUUUGUUGGUUCA